Molecule: long non-coding RNA, 464 nt
Filed under: Chinchilla lanigera (long-tailed chinchilla)
Lineage: Eukaryota; Metazoa; Chordata; Mammalia; Rodentia; Chinchillidae
Description: lncRNA (ENSCLAG00000022508.1)
Source: RNAcentral
CCCGCCCCCGCCGUCCCCCGCCGCCUGGCGCCCGGGAGGUCUGCCGAUCUCCGCCCGGCCGGGGGAUCUUGCGCCAUCCUCGCUUUCGAGGCGCCCAUCCGCCCGCUUCUCCCCGUCCCCGGCCGUUUGGGGAAGGGUCCGCUCCUGCGUCUUCUCACCUCCGCGCUUCUCCGUGCGCCCUCACCCUACGGGGGCAUUUGAGCAUUCGCCUUUCCUGCCUCCAGUUUCCACAACUCUCCAGGACGGUGGGAAAGCCUCCCGCCUCGGCCUCCUGGCCUGCAGCCAGGGGCGAGUUUGGGUGUCCUCCAGAGUUUGGCCAGUGAGAUUGGAUAUUUGCACUUCUGCACAACAGAGAUCUUUUAAGUAAGGUUCUGAACGAUGACUGACGCGGGUCCGCGCGGUGGCCCUCGCCGUCCCCGUCGCUGCGCAGCGCCCCGGAGCCCGCAGGUCUAGCGCCCGCACCC